UGAAUUAUAUGAAAUCCCUCUCUUGAUGUGAAUUUGUUUUGAAUGUGCAAUGAUGUAAAUUGUUUGAAAACAUCUUGAAAAGCAUGACAUGAAAUGUUUUGAGAAUUGAUAUGAUUUUGACUUGAAAAUGAGAGGGUUAUUUGUGUUGAAACAUGUUGAAUACAAUGGUUGAAUGAGAAGAAUAAUGUGAUAUUGAUGGCUUGCAAGUCGGGUAUGACGAUACCCUACAGAAUAUGAUAUGUGAUUGAAUUAGAUGAAAUUUGAAUGCAUUGAUUUUACAUGAGAUAGGUGGAUGCCCGAAGAAGGCUUUUGAGUGUAAGGGCUCAUCGCUGGAAAACUGUGUUUGCCAAUACGGGAAUUUGGUACCAGGAUAAGUGAUCUUGAGUACUUGACUUUAUGUCAUUCCCAAAUUGGG
Molecule: long non-coding RNA, 415 nt
Filed under: Capsicum annuum
Lineage: Eukaryota; Viridiplantae; Streptophyta; Magnoliopsida; Solanales; Solanaceae
Description: long non-coding RNA (CANN_LNC018953)
Source: RNAcentral